This is a long non-coding RNA of Pistacia vera, 900 nucleotides long. RefSeq lists it as uncharacterized. The record is from RefSeq and is a predicted model, not a curated record. Lineage: Eukaryota; Viridiplantae; Streptophyta; Magnoliopsida; Sapindales; Anacardiaceae. The transcript has 3 exons.
UUAUUUUAAGCCCUAAACUAAAAUUUGGAGGGAACCCAAACAGAGAGUAAACACCCUGUUUUUUGCAAGUUUCAGAAUCGGCAACAUCCCCUCUUGUUCUUGUUGCUUGGGUCUCUCUUGGUUUGCUAGAAUAGAUAGGGCAUCACCGCUCUUUGCUAGGAUAGGAGAAGGACAGGCAUUAAAGCCCGAGAACAAAUGCUUCAAGGCUAUACCUCCUUUGUCCCAAUCGGCCAUUACCAGUAGCAGAAGAUUACCCAACUAUAGGACCCCAGUCAUCUUCUUCCCAUCCCAUAGUUUCUGUCCCUUCAUCCCCGCCCAGUCGCUAGGCACCUGCGAAGGAAUUGAGCUUUUUUAUUCAACAGAGCAUGUUUCGUUAACUCUCUUUACACACUUAUAUUCAAUAUGUAUGCCUGUUUCUAUUUCUUUUCAUCUCCAUUUAUAGGGAAGACUAUUAAACCAAGCUACUCUAGACUGUUGUUGGUGAAGUUAGAGCCUCUAGACUGUUGUUGUUCUUGGAUGAGCCCUAAGAGGCUUUCAGUUUACUAGGAUUGCCAAUGAAGUAUUAGUUCUCAAGUGACAUUUUUUUUUUUUCAGGAGGUAAAAGGAAUAUAUAAGAGGAAUGGGCACUAGGGAAUAGCUGUAGUUGUUGGAAAAAUUCCACUGUAAGGCAAAAUGGUAUAGUGAAGGAAGAUAAAGUGAACUUUCCAAGUGUAGCUUAUGUUUGGAGAGUAUCAUUGCCCGGUGCUAAAUAAAGUUUUCACUGAAUUUACUGACAUUGUUGCUAUCAGGACUACAGCGAACGUGUUCUAUUAUGACGCAAUCAAAGAAUUAAACAUCAAGACGAAGAAUUGGAAAGAGCUUCUAACUGAUGAACCUUUCACUAAGGAAGACCUUAUAACA